AGAGUUUGAUCAUGGCUCAGGACGAACGCUGGCGGCGUGCCUAACACAUGCAAGUCGAGCGGGGAGAAUCCUUCGGGGUUCUUCUAGCGGCGGACGGGUGAGUAACGCGUGAACAAUCUGGCUCUCAGAGGGGGAUAACACAUUGAAAGAUGUGCUAAUACCGCGUAAGACCACGGUGCCACAUGGCGCAGAGGUCAAAGGAGUAAUCCGCUGAGAGAUGAGUUCGCGUCUGAUUAGCUAGUUGGUGAGGUAACGGCCCACCAAGGCAACGAUCAGUAGCCGACCUGAGAGGGUGAUCGGCCACACUGGAACUGAGAAACGGUCCAGACUCCUACGGGAGGCAGCAGUGGGGAAUAUUGGGCAAUGGGGGAAACCCUGACCCAGCAACGCCGCGUGAGGGGAGAAGGCUUUCGGGUCGUAAACCUCUGUCCCAUGUGAAGAGAAGAAGACGGUAGCAUGGGAGGAAGCCCCGGCUAACUACGUGCCAGCAGCCGCGGUAAUACGUAGGGGGCGAGCGUUGUCCGGAAUGAUUGGGCGUAAAGGGCGCGUAGGCGGCCUAUUAAGUCUGGAGUGGAAGUCCCGCUUUCA
Molecule: ribosomal RNA, 588 nt
Filed under: uncultured Eubacteriales bacterium
Lineage: Bacteria; Bacillati; Bacillota; Clostridia; Eubacteriales
Description: bacterial SSU rRNA
Rfam family: Bacterial small subunit ribosomal RNA
Source: RNAcentral